This 387-nucleotide unclassified non-coding RNA is filed under the name soil metagenome. RNAcentral describes it as "partial contains 5.8S ribosomal RNA, internal transcribed spacer 2, and large subunit ribosomal RNA". The stretch from base 1 to 120 matches the Rfam family "5.8S ribosomal RNA", at positions 35 to 154 of the family's 154-position model. The record is from RNAcentral.
GAUGAAGAACGUAGCGAAAUGCGAUAAGUAAUGUGAAUUGCAGAAUUCAGUGAAUCAUCGAAUCUUUGAACGCACCUUGCACCCUUUGGCAUUCCGAAGGGUAUGCUCGUUUGAGUGUCAUUGUACUCUCACACUCUCCGAUCCUAUGGAUUCGGGGAGCGGUGGACUUGGGUGUUGCUGCCUUUCCUUGUGGCUCACCUCAAAUGCGUCAGUGCACCUCUUGGUUGGACAUAGUACGGCGUGAUAAGUGUCUUCGCCGGCACCUCGCAAGAGGGUGGCCGAUCGGGAGCUCUGUGCUUUCAAACCGUCUUCGGACAAUUUCUGACAACUUGACCUCAAAUCGAGUAGGACUACCCGCUGAACUUAAGCAUAUCAAUAAGCGGAGGA